Molecule: small nuclear RNA, 104 nt
Organism: Saimiri boliviensis boliviensis (Bolivian squirrel monkey)
Lineage: Eukaryota; Metazoa; Chordata; Mammalia; Primates; Cebidae
Source: RefSeq, a predicted model, not a curated record
CGCAAUUACAUUUGCACCAACCUAAUAAAAUUGGAACAAUACAGAGAUUAGCAUGGCCCCUGCACAAGGAUCACAUGCACAUUCGGAAGGCGUUUCAUAUUCUU